AUGUAGGUGAAGCGGUUUACCCGUGGAGCUGAAAUCAGUCGAAGAUACCAGCUGGCUGCAACUGUUUAUUAAAAACACAGCACUGUGCAAACACGAAAGUGGACGUAUACGGUGUGACGCCUGCCCGGUGCCGGAAGGUUAAUUGAUGGGGUCAGCGCAAGCGAAGCUCCUGAUCGAAGCCCCGGUAAACGGCGGCCGUAACUAUAACGGUCCUAAGGUAGCGAAAUUCCUUGUCGGGUAAGUUCCGACCUGCACGAAUGGCGUAAUGAUGGCCAGGCUGUCUCCACCCGAGACUCAGUGAAAUUGAACUCGCUGUGAAGAUGCAGUGUACCCGCGGCAAGACGGAAAGACCCCGUGAACCUUUACUAUAGCUUGACACUGAACAUUGAGCCUUGAUGUGUAGGAUAGGUGGGAGGCUUUGAAGCGUGGACGCCAGUCUGCGUGGAGCCGACCUUGAAAUACCACCCUUUAAUGUUUGAUGUUCUAACGUGGACCCGUAAUCCGGGUUGCGGACAGUGUCUGGUGGGUAGUUUGACUGGGGCGGUCUCCUCCUAAAGAGUAACGGAGGAGCACGAAGGUUGGCUAAUCCUGGUCGGACAUCAGGAGGUUAGUGCAAUGGCAUAAGCCAGCUUGACUGCGAGCGUGACGGCGCGAGCAGGUGCGAAAGCAGGUCAUAGUGAUCCGGUGGUUCUGAAUGGAAGGGCCAUCGCUCAACGGAUAAAAGGUACUCCGGGGAUAACAGGCUGAUACCGCCCAAGAGUUCAUAUCGACGGCGGUGUUUGGCACCUCGAUGUCGGCUCAUCACAUCCUGGGGCUGAAGUAGGUCCCAAGGGUAUGGCUGUUCGCCAUUUAAAGUGGUACGCGAGCUGGGUUUAGAACGUCGUGAGACAGUUCGGUCCCUAUCUGCCGUGGGCGCUGGAGAACUGAGGGGGGCUGCUCCUAGUACGAGAGGACCGGAGUGGACGCAUCACUGGUGUUCGGGUUGUCAUGCCAAUGGCACUGCCCGGUAGCUAAAUGCGGAAGAGAUAAGUGCUGAAAGCAUCUAAGCACGAAACUUGCCCCGAGAUGAGUUCUCCCUGAGACUUUAGGUCUCCUGAAGGAACGUUGAAGACGACGACGUUGAUAGGCCGGGUGUGUAAGCGCAGCGAUGCGUUGAGCUAACCGGUACUAAUGAACCGUGAGGCUUAACCUUACAACGCCGAAG
This 1204-nucleotide ribosomal RNA is filed under the name Salmonella enterica subsp. enterica serovar Muenchen. Its description in RNAcentral is "partial 23S ribosomal RNA". It matches the Rfam family "Bacterial large subunit ribosomal RNA", at positions 1739 to 2925 of the family's 2925-position model. The record is from RNAcentral. Lineage: Bacteria; Pseudomonadati; Pseudomonadota; Gammaproteobacteria; Enterobacterales; Enterobacteriaceae.